RNAcentral lists this long non-coding RNA (360 nucleotides) under Mytilus galloprovincialis (Mediterranean mussel). The record is from RNAcentral. Lineage: Eukaryota; Metazoa; Mollusca; Bivalvia; Mytilida; Mytilidae.
UUCUCUGAAACUGACAUUAUCAAGAUGCUUGAUUUCUUGAUUGACAACAUAUUUGUUACGUUUGGAGGACGUGUUUUUCAACAGACUAUCGGCAUUCCAAUGGGAACGAAUUGUGCACCUCUUCUCGCCGACUUGUUUCUUUAUUAUUAUGAGGCUGAAUUCAUACAGGAACUUCUUAGGAAGAAAGAUAAGAAGUUAGCAAUAUCCUUUAACUCUACUUUCCGCUAUAUAGAUGAUGUUCUUUCACUAAAUAAUUCAAAAUUUGGUGACUAUGUCGAAUGCAUCUAUCAAAUUGAACUAGAGAUAAAGGAUACAACAGAUACAGUUAAGUCGGCCUCAUAUCUUGACUUACAUCUAGAA